Molecule: ribosomal RNA, 301 nt
Filed under: uncultured bacterium
Lineage: Bacteria
Description: partial 16S ribosomal RNA
Rfam family: Bacterial small subunit ribosomal RNA
Source: RNAcentral
CAGUAGCCACGGUAAUACAGAGGGUGCAAGCGUUAAUCAGAAUUACUGGGCGUAAAGCGCGCGUAGGUGGUUUGUUAAGUUGGAUGUGAAAUCCCCGGGCUCAACCUGGGAACUGCAUUCAAAACUGACUGACUAGAGUAUGGUAGAGGGUGGUGGAAUUUCCUGUGUAGCGGUGAAAUGCGUAGAUAUAGGAAGGAACACCAGUGGCGAAGGCGACCACCUGGACUAAUACUGACACUGAGGUGCGAAAGCGUGGGGAGCAAACAGGAUUAGAUACCCCAGUAGUCCCUGUCUCUUAUAC